GCAUUUGAGAGCUCCAUUUGCUCUCUCUCCGAUGAUCUCUCUCUGCAUUUCUCUGUUUCUCUCUGUGUUCAUAAGUUCAAUGUUUCAGUGAGAAAUUUCGUCGGAGGGCUUCACCGACGAGAGUUGUAGAGUGCUGAUUCAGUUGGGGAUUUCCUUUUCAUCGACUUGGCGUUCGAAGAGUUCAAUUCCUGUAGGGAGUCUUUGCUUCUCAAGGUUACCUGGCUAAAAGUUCAAUGGUUGAGAGUUCAGAUGAGGAUUCAGACAUAAGUGAGUCUGAGAUAAAUGAAUAUGGAGACAAGUCUUAUGAAAAGCUGAAGUGUGGGGAUCCCAAGGUGAAAAUCUCAAAUGACACUUACAGGUGCCCUUUUUGCUUGGGCAAGAGAAAGAGAGAGUACCUUUACAAGGAACUCCUCCAACAUGCUUCUGGGGUGGGUAAAGGUUCGAGUACCAGGAGUGUCAAGCAGAAGGCAAACCAUCUGGCAUUGGCAAAAUUUAUGGAAAGAGAUAUAGCCCCUGAAGGCUCUCUGUCGCAGCAUGUGGCCGUAUCUGAACCUCCGAGUGGUCGCGACAAUGAUGUAUUUGUUUGGCCUUGGACGGGAAUUGUGGUUAAUAUUCCAACUGAUUACAAGGAUGGACGAUAUGUGGGGGAAAGUGGUUCGAAGCUGAGAGAGCAGUUUAUACGGAGAGGAUAUAACCCUGUAAGGGUCCGUCCUUUGUGGAAUUAUCGGGGUCAUUCAGGGACUGCCAUAGUGGAGUUCAACAAAGAUUGGCCUGGAUUUAACAAUGCAAUGUCAUUUGAGAAGGCUUAUGAAGCUGAUCAUUAUGGGAAAAGAGAUUGGUAUGGAAGGAAACACAAAGGGUCUAGUUUAUAUGCAUGGGUUGCUCGUGAAGAUGACUAUAAAUCUGGAGGUAUUAUAGGGGAGGAACUCCAAAAAAUUGGAGAUUUGAAAACCAUUUCUGAUAUUGUGGCAGAAGAAGAACGGAAGAAGAAGAAACUUGUUUCAAAUCUUACCAAUGUUAUUGAAAUCAAGAAUAAGCACUUGAAAGAAAUGGAAUGCAAAUUCACUGAGACUUCUUUGUCUCUUGGCCGUUUGAUGGAGGAGAAGGAUGAGCUACAUCAAGCAUAUAAUGAAAAGAUACAAAAAAUGCACCAGGAUGCACAGAACCAUAUCCAGAGAAUUUUUCAGGAACACCAAAAACUUAAGGGAAAUUUAGAUUCUCAGAUGAAGGAGCUAGAGCGGCGUGGCAAGGAGUUAGAGAAGCGGGAGGCUCAAAAUGAAACUGAAAGAAGAAAACUACAGGAAGAUAGGGACAAGAACGCAAUGAGAAACAGUUCCCUUCAAAAGGCAACACUCGAGCAGAAGAAGGCUGAUGAAAAUGUGCUGAAGCUGGCAGAUGAUCAUCAGAGGCAAAAAGAAGAACUCCACAAGAGAAUAAUUCAAUUAGAAAAGCAACUGGAUGCCAAACAGGCACUAGAGUUGGAAAUAGAACGAUUGAAGGGGACAUUGGAAGUGAUGAAACACAUGGGGGGUGACGAUGAUGCAGAAGUCCAGAAAAAGAUGGAGUCAAUGAAGCAAGAGCUGGAGGACAAGGAAGGAGAUUUGGACGACCUUGAAUCACUCAACCAAACUCUUAUUGUGAAGGAACGCAAAAGCAAUGAUGAGCUGCAAGAUGCUCGUAAGGAAUUAAUUAAUGGGUUGAAAGAAUUGUCAGGUCGUGCUCAAAUUGGAGUGAAGAGAAUGGGAGAUCUCGACAACAAACCAUUUAUUGAUGCCUGCAAGAAGAAAUAUUCUGCUGAAGAAGCAGAGGAAAAGGCUGUAGGUCUGUGUUCAGAGUGGGAUGAGCAAAUCAGAAUACCAGAAUGGCACCCCUUCAAGAUCAUCAUUGCUGAUGGGAAACAUCAGGAAAUAAUCGAUGAAGAGGAUGAAAAACUGAAAAGCUUGAAGAAUGAUUUGGGUGAUGAGGUUGUCAAGGCCGUUACGACAGCGCUGAAGGAGGUGAAUGAGUACAAUCCAAGCGGAGGGUACAUCACAUCUGAGCUGUGGAAUUUCAAAGAAGAAAGGAAAGCUACACUUAAAGAAGGAGUUUCAUUUAUACUGAAACAGUGGAAGUUCUAUAAGCGCAAGAGGUGACCUAAGACUGGAUGGAAGGCAUAUCUUGGCCCAGCCUGCUGAUGAUUAUUUGGGCCUAGUGUGAAUAAAAUAUCUGUGCUACUCUGAAGUUGACCUAACGUAUAUGGAGAUCAUAUGAAAUGUAUUCUCUGCUGUUGCAUGACUUGGCCGGGUACCAGUAUGCCACAGAAGAAUUUGGUGGCAAGGAUUGUUGGACAGGAGGAUAAAGAGUAGAUAGAGACAGGUGCCUCUAUAGUAGCCUUACUGUGACUUGUCAAAUUUGGUAGCUUACUCAACUGGCUGCAAAUCCUGUGAAGAUUCUUUUUAUUUUUUAUUUUUUAUGAGAUUCUGUUCUUGGACACCAUUAUGUGGGUACAGCAUAUCCCUCUUUUACUUUUUCUCUGAAAUCUAGGGUGGAAGAUCCUUAGUGUGUUCGAGGUCUGAAGCCAAAAAUUACUAGUAGUGUUCUGAAUGAAGGAUAUGUGAAGAAGGUCUAUUGGUAAACUUACUCUUUGAAUUGAAAUACGAAACUUCUCUAACA
This is an RNA transcript of Macadamia integrifolia, 2652 nucleotides long. It is a transcript of the gene named protein INVOLVED IN DE NOVO 2-like, with no coding region annotated. The transcript is spliced from 10 exons. The record is from RefSeq and is a predicted model, not a curated record. Lineage: Eukaryota; Viridiplantae; Streptophyta; Magnoliopsida; Proteales; Proteaceae.